RNAcentral lists this transfer RNA (84 nucleotides) under Candidatus Omnitrophota bacterium. RNAcentral describes it as "tRNA-Leu". It matches the Rfam family "tRNA". From Rfam's summary of the family: Transfer RNA (tRNA) molecules are approximately 80 nucleotides in length. Their secondary structure includes four short double-helical elements and three loops (D, anti-codon, and T loops). Further hydrogen bonds mediate the characteristic L-shaped molecular structure. tRNAs have two regions of fundamental functional importance: the anti-codon, which is responsible for specific mRNA codon recognition, and the 3' end, to which the tRNAs corresponding amino acid is attached (by aminoacyl-tRNA synthetases). tRNAs cope with the degeneracy of the genetic code in two manners: having more than one tRNA (with a specific anti-codon) for a particular amino acid; and 'wobble' base-pairing, i.e. permitting non-standard base-pairing at the 3rd anti-codon position. The record is from RNAcentral. Lineage: Bacteria; Pseudomonadati; Candidatus Omnitrophota.
GCCGGGGUGGUGGAACCGGUAGACACGCGGGUCUCAAAAACCCGUGACCGAAAGGUCAUGAGAGUUCGACUCUCUCCCCCGGCA